RNAcentral lists this ribosomal RNA (473 nucleotides) under Nemertea sp. Antarctic ARM-2008. RNAcentral's name for it is "partial 16S ribosomal RNA". It matches the Rfam family "Bacterial large subunit ribosomal RNA", at positions 1840 to 2576 of the family's 2925-position model. Lineage: Eukaryota; Metazoa; Nemertea. The record is from RNAcentral.
UUUUUAUAAUAAGUAUUUUCUGCCCGGUGUAAUUUAUAAACGGCCGCGGUAUUUUGACCGUGCAAAGGUAGCAUAAUCAUUUGUUCUUUAAUUGGGGACUGGAAUGAAAGAAAUUUUGAGGGCCUUGCUGUCUCUUUUUUAUUUUAAAAAUUGUUGUUUUUGUGAAGAAACAAAAGUAAUCAAAAAAGACAAGAAGACCCUAUUAAGCUUUACUUUUAUAUUUAUCUAUUUUUUUCUUUUAAGGAGUUCUUUAGAGUUUAUAAAUUUGGUUGGGGUGACUAAAGAAGAUAAAAAUCUUCUUUUAUUAAUAAACUAUAUGUUUAAAAAUGACCCGAAAUUUCUUGGUUUAAAGAAUUAGUUACUAUAGGGAUAACAGCGUAAUUUUUUCAAAGAGUUCUUAUUGAAGAAAAAGAUUGCGACCUCGAUGUUGACUUGUUAUAUCCUAUAAAGGUGUAGCCGCUGUUAGGGUUAGA